RNAcentral lists this ribosomal RNA (374 nucleotides) under Bacillus paralicheniformis. RNAcentral describes it as "bacterial SSU rRNA". It matches the Rfam family "Bacterial small subunit ribosomal RNA", at positions 1 to 364 of the family's 1533-position model. Lineage: Bacteria; Bacillati; Bacillota; Bacilli; Caryophanales; Bacillaceae. The record is from RNAcentral.
UUCAUGGAGAGUUUGAUCCUGGCUCAGGACGAACGCUGGCGGCGUGCCUAAUACAUGCAAGUCGAGCGGACAGAUGGGAGCUUGCUCCCUGAUGUUAGCGGCGGACGGGUGAGUAACACGUGGGUAACCUGCCUGUAAGACUGGGAUAACUCCGGGAAACCGGGGCUAAUACCGGAUGCUUGAUUGAACCGCAUGGUUCAAUUAUAAAAGGUGGCUUUUAGCGACCACUUACAGAUGGACCCGCGGCGCAUUAGCUAGUUGGUGAGGUAACGGCUCACCAAGGCAACGAUGCGUAGCCGACCUGAGAGGGUGAUCGGCCACACUGGGACUGAGACACGGCCCAGACUCCUACGGGAGGCAGCAGUAGGGAAUCU